GCUGUCCCUAGAGGCGCUGCAGGUGUGGCUGCUGUGUCUCCUAUGUGCCAGUAGGUGGCAGAAAGGAGCGAGGCUAGGUCUAUGCUCACUGUUCUGACCUAUGAACAGCUGAAUGAUUAGUAGUCUGAACUCC
Molecule: small nucleolar RNA, 133 nt
Filed under: Mus pahari (shrew mouse)
Lineage: Eukaryota; Metazoa; Chordata; Mammalia; Rodentia; Muridae
Description: predicted gene, 23596 (MGP_PahariEiJ_G0034839.1)
Rfam family: Small nucleolar RNA SNORA17
About the family: snoRNA ACA 17 belongs to the H/ACA family of snoRNAs and is predicted to guide pseudouridylation of the 28S rRNA at positions U4659 and U4598. It shares the same host gene together with ACA43.
Source: RNAcentral